Molecule: ribosomal RNA, 253 nt
Filed under: uncultured bacterium
Lineage: Bacteria
Description: partial 16S ribosomal RNA
Rfam family: Bacterial small subunit ribosomal RNA
Source: RNAcentral
UACGUAGGGUGCAAGCGUUAUCCGGAAUUAUUGGGCGUAAAGAGCUCGUAGGCGGUUUGUCGCGUCUGCUGUGAAAACUGGAGGCUCAACCUCCAGCCUGCAGUGGGUACGGGCAGACUAGAGUGCGGUAGGGGAGAUUGGAAUUCCUGGUGUAGCGGUGAAAUGCGCAGAUAUCAGGAGGAACACCGAUGGCGAAGGCAGGUCUCUGGGCCGAUACUGACGCUGAGGAGCGAAAGCGUGGGGAGCGAACAGG